AUCGUGGCUUGCGCUCUCUUGGGCGUGUUUCUUGGCCAGUUCACCGAGUACAAUGGAAACCCAGGCAACAGAGGCGACCUGGGAUUCUCGGCAGACCCAGGAAACCCUGGCUAGUCCGGCUUCCAACACGUCAAGCCCUCCGCGUUUGAGAAUAAGGAAUCCAAUACGGCUUUCCCCGCCUCUCGUGCGGGUGUCGCAAACGGAGCGUACGGACGAUGGAACCCCCGCAUAUUGGAGAACAGUCAGGUGACGUACCCGAACGGCGCCUACGCCUACAAAUACAGGACCGAGAACGGAAUCUACGCUGCCGAGAGCGGCGGACCCUACCGGACUCGCAAUGGCCUGGAAAAGGCUGUCAACGGCAAGUACGGCUACAUCUCCCCCGAGGGAAUCCCCGUCAACGUCGUAUACACCGCUGACGGAUCCGGCUUCCGCCCCACGGUCCACAUCGGUUGGUAGAUCAUUACGUCAAUCACCCCCGACCGCCGACGUACCAACUCGCUUCGUUGAUGCUGAUACAGUAACCGAAAAAAUGUGAAGGGAUGCGAAGACCGUUACCCAAGAGAAGCGAUAAGGACCAGAAUCAUUGCGUACCCGAAAACGAAUUAGCCUAAAUUGUUACUGAUAAAUUUAAUUCCCAAAUCUGUUUAAUCAAAUUCUAUGGACCGCUUGCAGGUCGACAUCCGGCAUCGGAUUGCGAGAGUAGAUAAAUAAAUAAAGUUGCAAGUCUUUGGAACAAAACAAUUUGC
Molecule: long non-coding RNA, 749 nt
Organism: Neodiprion fabricii
Lineage: Eukaryota; Metazoa; Arthropoda; Insecta; Hymenoptera; Diprionidae
Exons: 3
Source: RefSeq, a predicted model, not a curated record